This 249-nucleotide ribosomal RNA is filed under the name Klebsiella aerogenes. Its description in RNAcentral is "partial 23S ribosomal RNA". It matches the Rfam family "Bacterial large subunit ribosomal RNA", at positions 1088 to 1336 of the family's 2925-position model. Lineage: Bacteria; Pseudomonadati; Pseudomonadota; Gammaproteobacteria; Enterobacterales; Enterobacteriaceae. The record is from RNAcentral.
GACAGCCAGGAUGUUGGCUUAGAAGCAGCCAUCAUUUAAAGAAAGCGUAAUAGCUCACUGGUCGAGUCGGCCUGCGCGGAAGAUGUAACGGGGCUAAACUGUGCACCGAAGCUGCGGCAGCGACACUAUGUGUUGUUGGGUAGGGGAGCGUUCUGUAAGCCUGCGAAGGUGGCCUGUGAGGGUUGCUGGAGGUAUCAGAAGUGCGAAUGCUGACAUAAGUAACGAUAAUGCGGGUGAAAAGCCCGCACG